UAGGGAAUCUUCCGCAAUGGACGAAAGUCUGACGGAGCAACGCCGCGUGAGUGAAGAAGGAUUUCGGUUCGUAAAACUCUGUUGUUAGGGAAGAAAAAAUGUAUAGUAACUAUAUACAAAAGAGACGGUACCUAACCAGAAAGCCACGGCUAACUACGUGCCAGCAGCCGCGGUAAUACGUAGGUGGCAAGCGUUGUCCGGAAUUAUUGGGCGUAAAGCGCGCGCAGGCGGUUUAGAAAGUCUGAUGUGAAAGCCCACGGCUCAACCGUGGAGGGUCAUUGGAAACUAAUAAACUUGAGUGCAGGAGAGAAAAGUGGAAUUCCUAGUGUAGCGGUGAAAUGCGUAGAGAUUAGGAGGAACACCGGUGGCGAAAGCGGCUUUUUGGCCUGCAACUGACACUGAGGCGCGAAAGCGUGGGGAGCAAACAGG
Molecule: ribosomal RNA, 429 nt
Filed under: Verrucomicrobiota bacterium
Lineage: Bacteria; Pseudomonadati; Verrucomicrobiota
Description: Verrucomicrobia bacterium partial 16S ribosomal RNA
Rfam family: Bacterial small subunit ribosomal RNA
Source: RNAcentral